UCCCGUCAAUUCAUUUGAGUUUUACCGUUGCCGGCGUACUCCCCAGGCGGAGAACUUAACGCGUUUGCUGCGACACUGGCCGACUAUGUCAACCAACGUCUAGUUCUCAUCGUUUACGGCGUGGACUACCAGGGUAUCUAAUCCCUGUUUGCUACCCACGCUUUCGAGCCUCAGCGUCAAUAUUGGCCCAGAAGACUGCCUUCGCCAUUGGUGUUCCUCCACAUAUCUACGCAUUUCACCGCUACACGUGGAAUUCCGUCUUCCUCUACCAUAUUCUAGUUCCGCAGUUUCGAAUGCAAUUCCCAGGUUGAGCCCAGGGCUUUCACAUCCGACACACGAGACCGCCUACACUCGCUUUACGCCCAGUAAUUCCGAUUAACGCUUGCACCCUUCGUAUUACCGCGGCUGCUGGCACGAAGUUAGCCGGUGCUUAUUCUGCAGGUACCGUCAACACGCUCGGGUUAUUAACCCGGCGCUUUUCUUUCCUGCUUAAAGUGCUUUACAACCCUAGGGCCUUCUUCACACACGCGGCAUGGCUGGAUCAGGCUUCCGCCCAUUGUCCAAUAUUCCCCACUGCUGCCUCCCGUAGGAGUCCGGGCCGUGUCUCAGUCCCGGUGUGGCUGAUCAUCCUCUCAGACCAGCUACUGAUCGUUGCCUUGGUAGGCCGUUACCCCACCAACUAGCUAAUCAGACAUAGGCUCAUCCAUCAGCGCGAGGUCCGAAGAUCCCCCGCUUUGCUCCGUAGAGAUUAUGCGGUAUUAGUCCGAGUUUCCCCGGGUUAUCCCCCACUGUUGGGUAGAUUCCUAUGCGUUACUCACCCGUCCGCCGCUCGACGCCUCCCCGAAGGGAUCGUUUCCGCUCGACUUGCAUGUGUUAGGCCUGCCGCCAGCGUUCAAUCUGAGCCAUGAUCAAACUCU
This 917-nucleotide ribosomal RNA is filed under the name uncultured Gammaproteobacteria bacterium. Its description in RNAcentral is "partial 16S ribosomal RNA". Lineage: Bacteria; Pseudomonadati; Pseudomonadota; Gammaproteobacteria. The record is from RNAcentral.